RNAcentral lists this ribosomal RNA (497 nucleotides) under uncultured bacterium. RNAcentral's name for it is "partial 16S ribosomal RNA". It matches the Rfam family "Bacterial small subunit ribosomal RNA", at positions 28 to 507 of the family's 1533-position model. The record is from RNAcentral.
GAUGAACGCUGGCGGCGUGCCUAAUACAUGCAAGUCGAGCGAACAGACGAGGAGCUUGCUCCUCUGACGUUAGCGGCGGACGGGUGAGUAACACGUGGAUAACCUACCUAUAAGACUGGGAUAACUUCGGGAAACCGGAGCUAAUACCGGAUAAUAUAUUGAACCGCAUGGUUCAAUAGUGAAAGACGGUUUUGCUGUCACUUAUAGAUGGAUCCGCGCCGCAUUAGCUAGUUGGUAAGGUAACGGCUUACCAAGGCAACGAUGCGUAGCCGACCUGAGAGGGUGAUCGGCCACCCUGGAGCUUAGCCACGGUCCAGACUCCUACGGGAGGCAGCAGUAUGGAAUCUUCCGCAAUGGGCGAAAGCCUGACGGAGCAACGCCGCGUGAGUGAUGAAGGUCUUCGGAUCGUAAAACUCUGUUAUUAGUGAAGAACAAAUGUGUAAGUAACUAUGCACGUCUUGACGGUACCUAAUCAGAAAGCCACGGCUAACUACGUG